UGGGGAAUAUUGCACAAUGGGCGCAAGCCUGAUGCAGCCAUGCCGCGUGUGUGAAGAAGGCCUUCGGGUUGUAAAGCACUUUCAGCGAGGAGGAAGGUGGUGAACUUAAUACGUUCAUCAAUUGACGUUACUCGCAGAAGAAGCACCGGCUAACUCCGUGCCAGCAGCCGCGGUAAUACGGAGGGUGCAAGCGUUAAUCGGAAUUACUGGGCGUAAAGCGCACGCAGGCGGUUUGUUAAGUCAGAUGUGAAAUCCCCCGGGCUCAACCUGGGAACUGCAUUUGAAACUGGCAAGCUAGAGUCUCGUAGAGGGGGGUAGAAUUCCAGGUGUAGCGGUGAAAUGCGUAGAGAUCUGGAGGAAUACCGGUGGCCGAAGGCGGCCCCCUGGACGAAGACUGACGCUCAGGU
Molecule: ribosomal RNA, 407 nt
Filed under: uncultured bacterium
Lineage: Bacteria
Description: partial 16S ribosomal RNA
Rfam family: Bacterial small subunit ribosomal RNA
Source: RNAcentral